CGGCAGCGCGAGAGAGCUUGCUCUCUUGGCGGCGAGUGGCGGACGGGUGAGUAAUAUAUCGGAACGUGCCCAGUAGCGGGGGAUAACUACUCGAAAGAGUGGCUAAUACCGCAUACGCCCUACGGGGGAAAGGGGGGGAUCGCAAGACCUCUCACUAUUGGAGCGGCCGAUAUCGGAUUAGCUAGUUGGUGGGGUAAAGGCUCACCAAGGCAACGAUCCGUAGCUGGUUUGAGAGGACGACCAGCCACACUGGGACUGAGACACGGCCCAGACUCCUACGGGAGGCAGCAGUGGGGAAUUUUGGACAAUGGGGGAAACCCUGAUCCAGCCAUCCCGCGUGUAUGAUGAAGGCCUUCGGGUUGUAAAGUACUUUUGGCAGAGAAGAAAAGGUAUCCCCUAAUACGGGAUACUGCUGACGGUAUCUGCAGAAUAAGCACCGGCUAACUACGUGCCAGCAGCCGCGGUAAUACGUAGGGUGCAAGCGUUAAUCGGAAUUACUGGGCGUAAAGCGUGUGUAGGCGGUUCGGAAAGAAAGAUGUGAAAUCCCAGGGCUCAACCUUGGAACUGCAUUUUUAACUGCCGAGCUAGAGUAUGUCAGAGGGGGGUAGAAUUCCACGUGUAGCAGUGAAAAUGCGUAGAUAUGUGGAGGAAUACCGAUGGCGAAGGCAGCCCCCUGGGAUAAUACUGACGCUCAGACACGAAAGCGUGGGGAGCAAAAAGGAUUAGAUACCCCUGGUAGUCCACGCCCCUAAACGAUGUCAACUAGCUGUUGGGGCCGUUAGGCCUUAAUAGCGCAGCUAACGCGUGAAGUUGACGGCCUGGGGAGUACGGUCGCAAGAUUAAAACUCAAAGGAAUUG
RNAcentral lists this ribosomal RNA (858 nucleotides) under Alcaligenes faecalis. RNAcentral describes it as "bacterial SSU rRNA". It matches the Rfam family "Bacterial small subunit ribosomal RNA", at positions 67 to 912 of the family's 1533-position model. Lineage: Bacteria; Pseudomonadati; Pseudomonadota; Betaproteobacteria; Burkholderiales; Alcaligenaceae. The record is from RNAcentral.